RNA transcript from Hypomesus transpacificus, 1917 nucleotides. It is a transcript of the gene named MRN complex interacting protein, with no coding region annotated. The record is from RefSeq and is a predicted model, not a curated record. NCBI's taxonomy places the organism in Eukaryota, Metazoa, Chordata, Actinopteri, Osmeriformes, Osmeridae. The transcript has 7 exons.
CAAAACCACCGGGAAAAAUCACAACGGAGUUCAUCGUAGCGUGAAGUUGUUGCUGUUUUGUAAAAUGGUGCAGGAAUUCCAUGUACUGAAGUGCUAUUCUUGUGAGGCAUUCCAAGUGCAACAGGUCAAAAAGAGCAAACAAUGGAAUUGUAAGAUGUGUGGAGAGAAGCAGUCUAUUAUCAAGGUGUUCGGCCGUGGCUCAGGUGUUGACUGUCGACGUCAUGUGCAGAAACUAAACACCAGGCGCGGGGAGAUUCUGGAGGAUCAAAACCAGAAUGCUUGGUUACGAUGCGUGAGCUAGGGAGAACACAGGAGAGGAAGUUGAAGGGAAUGAGCUGGGAGACAAGGCCCAGGAACAUGACAACCACACCGUGGUGGACAUUCAGAGGAGUCGCUGGAGUAAAUACCUGCUGAACCCUUCAGGUGUUCCCAGUCCUGAGGAGGAGGGAGAGGAGGAGAAUGUUUCCAUGGACAGGAACCACAGUCCUGCCAGCAGAAACAUCCGGAAGAGGAAGAGAGGUCGAGGAGGAAGUACUUAUCAAACUAGAGAAGAACACAGAGAAACUUCCCAUGGCGAUUGGAGGACUGCUGGGAAAAAGACUGUAGCACACCCCAGAACAUUCCCCAGCUCAUCUGCUACAGCCGAGGGGUCUGCUUCCUGCAGGUCUGCCCCAGCCCGUACUAACCCUAACCCUGGGCGGGCCACCAGCCAACCGCCACCUUCAACCCCAACCACCAGCCAACUCCCUUUGAAACCUGCUGUCCCCAACACACUCAAUACCAGUUCUUGCCGGCCUGUAUCUUCUGCUGACGCUGCAGUGUCCAAGACGUCUAGGUGGGCCCAGUUCCUGACCAGUCCCUCACCAGAGGAGCAGGAGGAAGAAUUCCUCAGCCAGCAUGUGGACAGAGAUGGAGAUCCAGUCCAGGACUAUACCAAGGCUCCUGCUACACUGCCAGGCUGUGCUAGCUCCUCCCUGGGUCAUAACUCCUCCUCCCUGGGUCAUAACUCCUCCCAGCUUGCUAGCUCCUCCCUGGGUCAUAGCUCCUCCUCCCUGGGCCAUAGCUCCUCCUCCCAGAAUGCUAGCUCCUCCUCCCUGGGUCUCCUCCCAGAGGAUGGGUUCUUGGGGAGGAAGUUAGGGAGCAGUUUCAGCAGACUGCGGUCCACUUUCAGCCUCUGUGGGUUUGGGGAUGUCACUCACGGCAACCGAGGCCCUGCCCCCGUAGCGUUACAUCAGAGGGAGGAGACUGUCUGUCAUCAGCCGCCGCCCACCAAGAGGCCAUGCCCCUCCCUCCCUGCCGCGUCUCUUUUCAACACGGACGAGGACUUCGAUGAUGCGUUUGAACUGUGACUCACUCACCAGUCUUGGUCUGAACUGUGACUCACUCACCAGUCUUGGUCUGAACUGUGACUAACUCACCAGUCUUGGUCUGAACUGUGACUCACUCACCAGUCUUGGUCUGAACUGUGACUCACUCACCAGUCUUGGUCUGAACUGUGACUCACUCACCAGUCUUGGUCUGAACUGUGACUCACUCACCAGUCUUGGUUGUUCAUGUGGGUGAUGUUUGAGACUUAACUGAUUUCCAUGAAAACAGACAUGACACAACAGAAGUUUCUUUUGCUGAAGUGUUUUAUUGUGUCGAAACAGCAGAAAUAACUUCAGUGUUAGACAGUCAUAGUUAUCAUCCCUUCACCCGGUUCCUCUGAAUGGACAGAACAUCACAUCUGGCAAGAAAUACUCUGGAUAAAUGUUGUAAGGUUACAAUAAUAACUAAUAUUAACUUGCAUUGAGGACGCUUUAACAGAUUCACCAUUAGUAAUGAGUAGCAUAUAGUUUGUUUUCUCUUUCAAAUCCAAUUCAUAAUAAUCUAAAUAUGUUGUUAAAUAAAACCUCUUCUACCAUUACAUAUCAGAAA